RNAcentral lists this ribosomal RNA (207 nucleotides) under uncultured bacterium. RNAcentral describes it as "partial 16S ribosomal RNA". It matches the Rfam family "Bacterial small subunit ribosomal RNA", at positions 568 to 774 of the family's 1533-position model. The record is from RNAcentral.
CUCGUAGGCGGUUCGUCGCGUCCGGUGUGAAAGUCCAUCGCUUAACGGUGGAUCCGCGCCGGGUACGGGCGGGCUUGAGUGCGGUAGGGGAGACUGGAAUUCCCGGUGUAACGGUGGAAUGUGUAGAUAUCGGGAAGAACACCAAUGGUGAAGGCAGGUCUCUGGGCCGUUACUGACGCUGAGGAGCGAAAGCGUGGGGAGCGAACA